ACUUUCAACAACGGAUCUCUUGGUUCUCGCAUCGAUGAAGAACGCAGCGAAAUGCGAUAAGUAGUGUGAAUUGCAGAAUUCAGUGAAUCAUCGAAUCUUUGAACGCACAUUGCGCCUCCUGGUACUCCGGGAGGCAUGCCUGUCCGAGCGUCAUUA
Molecule: ribosomal RNA, 156 nt
Filed under: Donadinia helvelloides
Lineage: Eukaryota; Fungi; Ascomycota; Pezizomycetes; Pezizales; Sarcosomataceae
Description: 5.8S ribosomal RNA
Rfam family: 5.8S ribosomal RNA
About the family: 5.8S ribosomal RNA (5.8S rRNA) is a component of the large subunit of the eukaryotic ribosome. It is transcribed by RNA polymerase I as part of the 45S precursor that also contains 18S and 28S rRNA.
Source: RNAcentral